GUGAGGAAUAUUGCGCAAUGGAGGCAACUCUGACGCAGCCAUGCCGCGUGCAGGAAGAAGGCGCUACGCGUUGUAAACUGCUUUUAACCGGGAAGAAACCCCAGGACGUGUCCUGGGUUGACGGUACCGGAGGAAUAAGCACCGGCUAACUUCGUGCCAGCAGCCGCGGUAAUACGAAGGGUGCAAGCGUUAUCCGGAUUCAUGGGGUUUAAAGGGUGCGUAGGCGGAGCGUUAAGUCAGUGGUGAAAUCCUGCAUCUUAACUGUAGACUUGCCAUUGAUACUGGCGCUCUUGAGUGCGCUUGAAGUGGGCGGAAUGUGCCGUGUAGCGGUGAAAUGCUUAGAUAUGGCACAGAACACCAAUUGCGAAGGCAGCUCACUAAGGCGAUACUGACGCUGAGGCACGAAAGCGUGGGGAUCGAACAGGAUUAGAAACCCUGGUAGUCC
RNAcentral lists this ribosomal RNA (445 nucleotides) under uncultured bacterium. Its description in RNAcentral is "partial 16S ribosomal RNA". It matches the Rfam family "Bacterial small subunit ribosomal RNA", at positions 354 to 796 of the family's 1533-position model. The record is from RNAcentral.